Suncus etruscus (white-toothed pygmy shrew) is the source of this 107-nucleotide small nuclear RNA. The record is from RefSeq and is a predicted model, not a curated record. Lineage: Eukaryota; Metazoa; Chordata; Mammalia; Eulipotyphla; Soricidae.
GUGCUCGCUUCAGCAGUACAUAUACUAAAAUUGGAAUGAUACAGAGAAGAUUAGCAUGGUUCCUGCACAAGGAUGACUCGAAAAUUCAUGAAGUGUUCCAUAUUAAA